This 3821-nucleotide long non-coding RNA is filed under the name Heterocephalus glaber (naked mole-rat). Its description in RNAcentral is "lncRNA (ENSHGLG00100041740.1)". The record is from RNAcentral. Lineage: Eukaryota; Metazoa; Chordata; Mammalia; Rodentia; Bathyergidae.
GCUGCAGUCUAAUCGCUGCUGAGAAUCCUGGUACUUCCAGAAAUUCCUCUCUGGCCCGUGUUGGGCUUCAUCUUGUACACAGAGGGGAGCGGAGGGAAGGAAGAUGGAGUGCUGCUCUGUGGCCUGCCUGGGAAGACCUCCGUUUUGUACGGCUUUCGCUCUCAGGGUGAUAAGCUCUUCACCGAGCGCAGUGAAUUUGCUCCUGCCAGGUGUGCGGAGCAGAGAGCAUCAGGGGUCAGCAGGGGUCAGGCCCUCCCUCCUGCGCUCUGGUAAACAGUCAGGGUGUGGGGUACAGUGAGAAAGGGUGUCAUUUCAGUUCCUAUUACGGUUUUACAGCCUCUGGGCCAGCUUCAUCCUCCGGAAAAUCAAGGCAGCAAGUCCUCUGGAGGAGCCGCGGCCCUGUUUUCUAGGCGGGCAGACGACUCUGCAGACAAGGCGAGGACGCGCGGCUGCGACUCACCUCGGCCGCAGACGGGGCUCCGAGGAGCUGCAGGCCUCCGGGCCUUAGGCUGCCCUCACCCUCCGCUGAGGGAUGAGGAGGGUGCGGGCUGCUACUGUCAUCACUGGAAACCCCCACAGUCCGGUAAACUCAGGGACCAGGGAUCUUCAGGUGCACCGUGGCCUGGGCCCGGCAGCGCAAAGUCCCCUCUCAGGCCCGCUCUGCACACACAGGGCCUCUGCGGCCCGCCAGGCCCCUCUCUUCCCCCGCAGGGCCCGGGGUCUGGGGCAGGGGCUGUCUUCCUUCUGCCCACCCCACCCCACCCAGCCUCACCCAGCUCCUUCUGCACGCUCAGUGCGGAUAACAGUGCAGGGCACUGCUCUAUGCCCCUCUGAGUCGCUCCUGUGAAUAAACGCUUGGGGUGUGGAAUCGGAGCCCUGUGGCAGCCUGGAACCAGGGACUCAGGUCUUGCUAAAUUGCCCAAGUGGGACUUGAACGUGUGUUUCUCCUGUCUUGGCCACCCAAAGUGCUGCAUCUUUAAAUGACCUUCAAAGUGUUUGUUUGCUUGAGAAGGCCCUCCAGAGAAAUAUGCAAGGAACCUGCUAAAACUCAGCCAGUCACUCUGGCACACUCUUUUAUGUGAACUAAAGUCAACUUCACUCAUUAUCAAACCAAAUUCUCCACCCAGAAGGAUUCCUGCCCUGCACGUUUUUCAAUGUUUUGAACCAUUUUUCUCCAUCAGUUUUUGGAGCACAUGAUGUAGGACCUUGAACUGAGCCUGCUUAGGCAUGUGAAUGUGCCCGCUCUGCAUGUGACGACAGUCUUUCCUGGACGAGUCUGUGGGGAUCCCCCAUGGAAGCCCUGCUCUUCUCUGUCCAGGGAGACACUUCAGUGACAGUCACCCCCAUGCUGCAAGAUGAACCAUCCCUGAGAGAGGUGGCAAUGUAUUUCGUGACCUGACCUCAGAAAUCCUGUACAGUCACCUCAGCCAUGUUGUCUCGCUGCAGAAGAGCCCUUAAGUCUGGCUCCCAUUCAAGGUGCCUUACGGAAGAACAUACGUAUUUGCUUCCUGUUUUUAUCCUGAGAGAAGUGUCUGCGGAAUCAAACUUGGGACCUUGUGCUUGCAAGGCAGGUGUGAGUACCACUGAGCUAAAUCCCUGGCCCUGGAUAAAGCUUCUAUAAAUAUGUGUGUACAAGGUUUUGUGUGGCCAUAAAUUUUUAACCCAUUUGAGUAAAUACCAAGGGGAAUGACUGCUGGGUCAUAUGGUAAAAAACUGUUUACUUUGUAAGAAUCUGCCACACUGUCUAUAAAACGGUCCAUAUUAUUAUUAUUUUUUUUGUUGUUACCGGGGAUCGAACUUGGGCCCUUGCGCUUGCACAGCAGGUGGUGAAACCACUGAGCUAAAUCCCCGGCCAGGAUCCAUAUUAUUUUGACUUCCCACCAACAAUGAGUGGGAGUUCCCGUGGCCCCACGUCUUCCCCGCAUUUGAUGUUGUCAGGGUUUUGCAUUUGAGUCCUUCUAGCAGAUGGACAGUGGUAUCUUCUUUUAAUUUGCAAUUCCCUAAUGACAAAUGAUGCCCAGCAUCUUCUCAUAUGCACGUAUGUCAUUGUAUAUCUUCUUGGGUGAGGUGUUUGUUCUGGUUUUUGCCCAUUUUUAAUUGGCUUUUUUGUUUUCUUAUUCUUGAAUUUAAAGAUUUCUUUGUAUCUUUUGGGUAACUGUCCUUUAUCAGAUGUGUCUUUUGCAUAUUUUCUCCCAAUCUAUAGCUUGUUUUCUCAUUCUUGUUGCAGGAUCUUUUGCAGAGAAAGUCUUAAUUUUAAUGAUGUCACCUUAUCAAUUACUUCUUUCAUUGAUAGUGGCUUUGGUGUCAUGUCUAAAAGUCAUCACUAUACCCAAGAUCAUCUAGAUUAGUGAUGGCAAAACUUUUAGAGACCUAGUGCCAAACUACAACCAAAACCCACUUAUUUAUCAUAAAGUGCCAACACUGCAAUUAAACCUGAGAUUUUAGUUUAGAAAAACCAACUCUAUAUCAACAUCUUUUGCCUUAAACGAAAAACACAAUAACACGUUUGCCACCACUGAUCUAGAUGCGUUCCGAAGUUACCUUUUCAGUGUGCUAUAGUUUAUAUUUCACACUGAAGUCUAUGACCCAUUUUGAGUUAGUUUUUGUGAAGGGUGUAAGUUCAAUGUCUAGACUGGUUUCUUUGCAUGUGGAUGUCUAGUUGUUCCAGCACUGUUUGUUGAAAGACUACCCUUGCUGGGCAUGGUGGCCAAUGCCUAUAAUGCCAGCUACUUGGGAAGCUGAGCAGGAGGAUCACAAGUUCAAGGCUAGCCUGGGCAACACAGUGAUAACCUGUCUGAGAAUAAAAGUAAGCCUCUUCUCUUUGUCAAGGACUAGCUGAUUAUAAUGGUGUGGGUCUAUUUCUUGGCUCUCCACUCAGUUUCACUGAUCUACUGUUUUUAUUUUGUUCUUUAUUUUUUUCUCCAGUACUGGGACUGAACCCAUGGGCUUGCACAUGCUAGGCAAGUGCUCUACCACUGGGCUUCAUCUCCAAUUCUUUUUUUUUUUUUUUUUUAAGAGGUGGAGUCUUGCCAUGCUGCCCAGCCUCCUGCUUCAGCCUCUCAAGUAGAGGCUCAAUUUUUCUUCUGGUUUUCACUUUGUCACGAGAUUUGCUCUACCACCUACUCUGGCAAGUCUAGUCAUUUCCCUGCAUCCUUCCACCUCGUGACUGUCCUGGUUAUUCUCAGCCCUGCCACAUAGUGGCCAUCAUCUUUCCCACCUUGUUGACUCCACUCUGGUUCCCAGAUGCUAUAUCCUUCCUUUUCUUUCUUUUCCUGAAACCCAUCAACUAUUAGUUCCUAGGAAAAGGUGCAUGGAAGAUGCAUUUUCAUAGUCCUUGCAUGUCUGAAAAUUCUUUUAUCUGCCUUCAUUCUUGAUCAAUAGUUUGGUUGAGGGUAGAAUUUAAGGUUAUUUAUUUAUGUAUCUAUUUGGCAGUGCUAGGGCUUGAACCCAGGGCCCUGUGUGUGCUAGGCAAGUGGUUCACCACUGAGCUAGCUGCACCCCCGGCUCCUUAACUCAAUUCUUUUAAAACUUAGAAGGCACUGAUUAUUUUCUUCUAGCAUCCAAUGUUGUUCUUGAAGUCAAUUUCAUGUUCAUUCUUGUUCUUCUAGUUUCCAUCCUCUUUGGAAGUUCUAGGUUUCCCAAUUUGUCCCUUGUGACCCUUUAUGAUGAUGUGCCUUUUUGUAUCAGUCAAGGUAUUUGCUAAAAUAAAAAAAGUCAACUAAAAUGGACCAUACUGUAAGUACUUUCUUUUGGUACUGGGGUUUGAACUUGGGACCUUGCGCUUGCGAGGCAGACGACGGAACCACUGAGCUAAAUCCCUG